GGGGGAUUAGCUCAGUUGGCUAGAGCGCUACAAUGGCAUUGUAGAGGCCAUCGGUUCGAAUCCGAUAUUCUCCA
This is a non-coding RNA of Spirosoma sp. 48-14, 74 nucleotides long. Lineage: Bacteria; Pseudomonadati; Bacteroidota; Cytophagia; Cytophagales; Cytophagaceae. The record is from Rfam.